This 302-nucleotide unclassified non-coding RNA is filed under the name uncultured Lecanorales. Its description in RNAcentral is "sequence contains ITS1". The stretch from base 1 to 105 matches the Rfam family "5.8S ribosomal RNA", at positions 50 to 154 of the family's 154-position model. Lineage: Eukaryota; Fungi; Ascomycota; Lecanoromycetes. The record is from RNAcentral.
GAAAUGCGAUAAGUAAUGUGAAUUGCAGAAUUCAGUGAAUCAUCGAAUCUUUGAACGCACAUUGCGCCCCUCGGUAUUCCGGGGGGCAUACCUGUUCGAGCGUCAUUACACCUCUCAAGCGUAGCUUGGUAUUGGGCCUCCGCUCCCUCAAAAGGGCGGGCCUGAAAAGCAGUGGCGGCCCGGCUCGGCCUUGAACGUAGUACAUUUUCUCCCGUUCUGAAGGUCCGCGACGAGGCUUGCCAGAAACACCCAUAUUUUCAAGAAUUGACCUCGGAUCAGGUAGGGAUACCCGCUGAACUUAA